CUGGCUCCUCAGUGAUAUGAGUCAAUCCAUCAGACAGAAUGAUGGCAGUCACCCAGCCUUCACAGCCACCACCACCAUGCUGGCAAAUGUCACAUUUGGAAUUCAUUUGCAUAGCUGGGUAGCACUCCCUGUAGAGUUACAUUGAACAAUUUUGCAGCUGUGACAGCUUGAAAUAGAAAAGCUAAUGCAACUAUCUGUCGACUUCCUCUGUGCCUUGUUUUCCUAAAAUCUAGCUGGGAAUUCUUAUUACAGAAAGGGGGAGAAUCAUGUAAAAAUGGAAGGGAAACUGAUGCAAAGCUUUCAGGAACCAAGCACGUCUCGGUGGCAUUCAGAAGAGGCAUACAGGGACAUAGAGGCACGGUUUCCCACCGACUGAGAUGAAGCUUAUCUUCCUAACGUCCUACCAUAGAAAGCAGAUAGCCAAAAGAUAGUUUUGACUGAAUGGAGGAAGAUGAGGAGUGAAGACCCCAAUUUCUUUCCCCUCAUAAUGGAGUCAAAAUGGGACUCUGUUAUGAAGGAGUGUUGGUGAGAGAAUGUGGAUCCUUACAGAAAAUUGCAACUGUAUGAGAGAUGGAAGAUUUAAUCCAAGCUGUGCCAAGACUCACCAACCUAGACAGGUGAGAACUGGGCCAUCAAUCCAAACAAGGGUAAACAAUAAAUGCACCUGGGGGAAAGGCCAACCAUGAUGAUUGUGAAAGACUGGGAAACAUGACAAAUUACUAUGAAGGAAUUUCUGAGCUUAGUAAAAUACAAUUUCUGGGGGUUUGGAUAUGGUGCAUUGUGAGCUGUCAAAGGAUUCCAAAGUUCAGGCAUUGAGCUGCUUUAUCUUUUAAUAUUUCAAAUUCAAUGACACUUUUGAGUUUAUAUUUGGUUUAACAAAAAAAAAUCAUUUAAGCACAGCAUAUAUAGCUUCAAAUCCAUGUGUAUGCUCCCCGACUUAAGGAUGAAAGAAACAUCUAGUCAAGGGAAUAUGUGCCUUGAUUUAUUUCUCUAGCAGUAAUGAUGAAUUGCACUAUGUCUUCUGCACUCCCAUGACAUGUCACUUCCAUAACCCUUGGUGUUCAACUACAAGACAGAAAGGUUACAAGUGCAGGUGAUUGCUGUGCACAAGGGUUUUUCCUAACUGAGAAACUAACUGGCCCAUAUAGGGAUUAAAACCACAAGCCUGGCCCUCAUAAUCACCACUCUAACGUCCAGAGCUAACUGACCCAGACAAUAAAGGCUGCAGGAGACACCCGCUGAGCUAUUAGGUUGAUAAAUGGGAAGGACUUCAGAGUACAGCAUCUUAUGAAAAAUAAUAUAAUAAUUUAAGUAGUUGUCCAUCCCAGUGGUACCAAUUUAUAGCCAAGGCUAACUAAUAG
Molecule: long non-coding RNA, 1361 nt
Organism: Sapajus apella (tufted capuchin)
Lineage: Eukaryota; Metazoa; Chordata; Mammalia; Primates; Cebidae
Exons: 3
Source: RefSeq, a predicted model, not a curated record